RNAcentral lists this ribosomal RNA (309 nucleotides) under uncultured bacterium. RNAcentral's name for it is "partial 16S ribosomal RNA". It matches the Rfam family "Bacterial small subunit ribosomal RNA", at positions 504 to 808 of the family's 1533-position model. The record is from RNAcentral.
AGAGACAGCAGUAGCCACGGUAAUACGAGGGGAGCUAGCGUUGUUCGGAAUUACUGGCGUAAAGCGCGCGUAGGCGGCUUUUUAAGUCAGAGGUGAAAGCCCGGGGCUCAACCCCGGAAUUGCCUUUGAAACUGGAAAGCUAGAAUCUUGGAGAGGUCAGUGGAAUUCCGAGUGUAGAGGUGAAAUUCGUAGAUAUUCGGAAGAACACCAGUGGCGAAGGCGACUGACUGGACAAGUAUUGACGCUGAGGUGCGAAAGCGUGGGGAGCAUACAGGAUUAGAUACCCCAGUAGUCCCUGUCUCUUAUACA